GGAAUAUUGGACAAUGGGCGCAAGCCUGAUCCGGCCAUGCCGCGUGAGUGAUGAAGGCCUUAGGGUUGUAAAGCUCUUUCGUCAGGGAAGAUAAUGACGUUACCUGACGAAGAAGCCCCGGCUAACUUCAUGCCCGCAGCCGCGGUAAUACGAAGGGGGCUAGCGUUGCUCGGAAUCCCUGGGCGUAAAGCGCACGUAGGCGGCUUUCUAAGUCAGGGGUGAAAUCCCGGGGCUCAACCCCGGAACUGCCUUUGAUACUGGAGAGCUUGAGUUCGGGAGAGGUGAGUGGAACUGCGAGUGUAGAGGUGAAAUUCGUAGAUAUUCGCAAGAACACCAGUGGCGAAGGCGGCUCACUGGCCCGAUACUGACGCUGAGGUGCGAAAGCGUGGGGAGCAAAC
This 398-nucleotide ribosomal RNA is filed under the name uncultured bacterium. RNAcentral describes it as "bacterial SSU rRNA". It matches the Rfam family "Bacterial small subunit ribosomal RNA", at positions 358 to 773 of the family's 1533-position model. The record is from RNAcentral.